GAUGAAGAACGCAGCGAAAUGCGAUAAGUAAUGUGAAUUGCAGAAUUCAGUGAAUCAUCGAAUCUUUGAACGCACAUUGCGCCCCCUGGUAUUCCGGGGGGCAUGCCUGUCCGAGCGUCAUUACAACCCUCAAGCUCAGCUUGGUGUUGGGCCCCGCCGCCCCGGCGGGCCCUAAAGUCAGUGGCGGUGCCGUCCGGCUCCGAGCGUAGUAAUUCUUCUCGCUCUGGAGGUCCGGUCGUGUGCUCGCCAGCAACCCCCAAUUUUUUUCAGGUUGACCUCGGAUCAGGUAGGGAUACCUGCUGAACUUAAGCAUAUCAAUAAGCGGAGGA
RNAcentral lists this unclassified non-coding RNA (329 nucleotides) under soil metagenome. Its description in RNAcentral is "partial contains 5.8S ribosomal RNA, internal transcribed spacer 2, and large subunit ribosomal RNA". The stretch from base 1 to 120 matches the Rfam family "5.8S ribosomal RNA", at positions 35 to 154 of the family's 154-position model. The record is from RNAcentral.